Molecule: long non-coding RNA, 3340 nt
Organism: Cavia porcellus (domestic guinea pig)
Lineage: Eukaryota; Metazoa; Chordata; Mammalia; Rodentia; Caviidae
Source: Ensembl
AUGCAAGGGGGGAAAGUGCCUGCUCGCCUCUUUGUUCCCUCUCUCAUUGACGUAUUUACUGAUUUGUUAAGUUUGUUCCUUCGUUCCUUUGUUCAUUCGUUCUCUAGCCGCCUCUUCCUUCGCCCCGGCCCCCGACUCCAACUCCCCCGAUGCCCCGGCGAACGAAUGUCCCGUGACUCUCUCUUGGGUGGACUGAGAUGUACUUCUCGCAGACCUGGCGCUGAAAUCCGUCGCGGUUGUGGUUGUAGACUGACUGCAGUCGGUCACAGAAGAGGCGAGCCAGGCCGCCCCGGCGGGGGCGGGGCAGCGUCCCUUGACUUCCUGCUUCCGGUGCGCAUGCGCUCGGCGACGUUCCUGGUCCGUGAGGAGGAAAGAUACGGAAGAAUAUUGGUUUGCUAUGUGCCGUGGAACCGGCCGCCUCAGUUCCAGUAUCUGGAGCUUUGCACUCAUCCACCCACGUUUGGACUCAGCUCUACAAUGUCCGUCAUGCGGCGAGGCCUUGGAAGUGGCCCGUGUGGUGUCUUCUGUGUGCCACCAGAUGAAUCGUGUCCUGACAAACCAGCCUCUUAGCAGCGGGGAUUGGAUGCAGCAGAGUGCCAAAGCUAUGUCUAUUUCUGUGUCUCUGGACCUCCCUUCCUGACUUCUGAGAUUUUGAGUCAAAGAGUUCUCGUCUGGAGAGACUGGAUUUGAAAAGGAAGGAUGGACAAGAAUGAGAGGCAAGGCGUCUCAUCAUUUAAUUAAUUAAAUUCCUCAUUUAUCCAGUUAUUUAAUGAUUGAUCAAGUUCAUUUCAAGGUGGUAGACAGAUUGGUUUACAUACAUGAGAUACUGAGAUCAGGAAGACAAAAAUAAAUCAAGCCAAGCCAGGCCAUGAAAAUGACAGCUGAGAGAUGAAAAAGAAGGGCAGACAGUAAGUACAGUGGCAAGAAGACAGAGCAGCCAGAAAAGACUGGCUGGGCAGCAGGAAAGAGGCCGAGAGUGAGUGAGGUGCGAGGGGUGGCCAGGAGCCCGAAGUGAGCAGCCAGGAGGAGAGGGAGGGCGGGAGGAAGGAGGGCCCCAAGUGGCUCGAGUGGCUGGACAGAAGCGGUCAGAGGUGGCCCACGGUGGCCAGCCAGCAGCAAAAGCCGCCAGAGGCUGGACCCUGCCUGCCUGCCUGCUGCCUGGCUGGCUGGCUGGCCGGCUGAAGCCUGAAGCCUGAAGCCUGAAGCCGAGACAGGGAGAAAGAGAAAGAGCAAGCCAAAAGAGGCAAAGGGGAUGGAGAAAAGCAAAGGCAGAGUGAAAACAGGCAAGUGGCCCUGACCACAAAGCAGAGCGAGAACCAAAGAUGGCCAGAGGGCUAGAGGACAGCAGAGACAGACACAGACACAGACAGAGACAGACAGAGGCAGAGAGAGACAUGCAGAGAGACAGAGAUGCAAACAGAGUCAAAGGCCCUGAGAAAUGCACGGAGAGGGGGCAAGGGGGCGGAUAGGCGGUAAAGGGGAUAGGACAGGGUAGGAGGAUGAAAACGGGGAGGGAGCAGAGAGAGGCAAAGGGACUGAGGCAUGUUUGUGUAGGACAGAAUGUGGGAAUCCAAGCAGCCAGACUGAGGCAGAGGCGCACAUCUGGAAUCAACUGAGCUGAGCUGAGCUAACCCCUAAACUAAUCUGAGUAUGUUAGGGUUACAGGUGGGGAUCUGUGUGUGUGUGUGUUUGUUGUUAUGGUGUGUAAAAUAGUGGGGAGGGAGACAGUGAAAAGAGACAUGGGUGGGGCCACAUAAACAGCUGAGAGCCAGCCCCCAAAAAGAGCAGGGGCAGGAAAAAAAGCAGAGAUUGAAAAGCAGCUGAGGAAAUGGAGAAAAGUGCCCACAGCGGGCCCUGAAAACAAAAGCAGAUAGAACCAAAAAUAGGAAAAUGUCCCCAGGACAGCAGAGAUGGAGAGAGAGAGAGACAGAGAGAGAGCAGGCAAAGAGGCAAAGGGGAUGGAGAGAAGCAAAGACAGUGAAAACAGGCAAGGGAUCCCAGAAUCAGAAGCAGAGAGAAGCAAAAAUAGCCACAGGGCCAGAGGAAGGCAGACACACAGAGAGACAGAGACAGCUAGAGAGAGAGAGAGAGACAGAGACAAAGAGAGAGAGAGAGAGAGAGAGAGAGAGGCAGAAAGAGAUGCAAAAGGAGUCAAGGGGCCCCGAGAACAUCACAGCGAGGGGGCAGGUGGGUGGUAAAAGGGACAGGACGGGGGAUCAGAGAGGCAAAGGCACUGAAGGGCGUUUGUCUAGGACAGAUGUGGGAAUCCCAGCAGUGAGAUACUGGCAGAGGCGCACAUCUGGAAUCCACGGAGCAGAGCUGAGCUGAGCUGAGCUGUGUGUGUUAGGCUCACAGGUGAGGAUCAAGGCAUGGGGGUGUGUGUGUGUGGUGUUAGGGUCUGAGAGAAAGCGGGGAGGGAGAGAGCGAAAAGAGGCCUGAGGCCAGCAAAACAGCUGAGAGACAGCUAAAAGCCAGGGCCAGGUGCAUGGCAGAAAGCUGAGCGAGAGAGAGUGAAAAGAGGCCAAGGGAAUGGAAAGCCGAGAGUGCAAAAUGGCCCCAAAAGACCUUGAAAACAUCAGCAGAGAGAACCAAAAGUAGGCAAAGACAGAGACAGAGAGGAGGCAAACGGGACUCAAGUGGGUUUGUGAAUGAUCUAGGAGUCAGUCCUAGCGGUGGCCCAAAGGAGAGAGACAUUCGGAGUAUAGUUAGCCCAGCCGAGCCGAGCCCAGCCAAACUGCAUGUGCUAGGGUUAUAGGUGAUCAUCAGGGCAUCUGUGUGUGUUGUUAGAGUUAGGGUGUGGAUGGAUGGAUGGAUGAGGGGGGAGUACGUGUGUGUUGUGAACCUGCACUGAUCGGUGCAAAAUGCGAGUCCAGGAGGCUGGGAAGCUUAAGUAGCCAGACCUUAACACUCUCUCCGGGUUUUUUCCCCCUAUAGGGCUCUUGAUCCAAGAACCACCAAACCAGAGAGAUAUCACGCUGGAAAUGAGAUUCAGCUACAGUCUGACGUGAAUUUACGCUCAGCAUCUGACAGACUGACACCCCCGUCUCCCCGUCUCCCUUGGGGUUGAUUUUUCUCUCCUGUGUGUGUGGGGGGCAUUAAGGGGGCACGGCUCACCCUGCUCACUGUCUCUGUCUGCUUUUCUCAUGAUACUUGUACAGUGAGUGCUUUUGCUGUGUUUCAUGAUGUUACCUUUGGAACAGAGAAACACAGUAAAUUUUUCCAUGGGGAAAAAUUCUACCAGAGUCUUGAGUUGUUUCUUUGGUUGAACAGACAGAGCACCUUCCUGGGUGGGGGCCAUCUAAUCCUGCAUCAGAGUGGACAUUCCUUGGGAGGUGUGGGG